CUAAGAAUAUUCCGCAAUGGACGAAAGUCUGACGGAGCGACGCCGCGUGGAUGAUGAAGGCCGGAAGGUUGUAAAAUCCUUUUAUGACUGAGGAAUAAGUGAAGUGAGGGAAACGCUUCAUGGUGACUGUAGGUCAUGAAUAAGCAACGGCUAAUUACGUGCCAGCAGCCGCGGUAACACGUAAGUUGCGAGCGUUGUUCGGAAUUAUUGGGCGUAAAGGGUAUGUAGGCGGAAUUGCAAGCUUGAUGUGAAAGGCAGGGGCUUAACUCCUGGAUUGCGUUGAGAACUGCAUAACUAGAGUAACUGAGGGGCAGCCGGAAUUCCAGGUGUAGGGGUGAAAUCUGUAGAUAUCUGGAAGAACACCAAUGGCGAAGGCAGGCUACCAGCAGAUUACUGACGCUGAGGUGUGGAGGUAUGGGGAGC
This 423-nucleotide ribosomal RNA is filed under the name uncultured Treponema sp. RNAcentral describes it as "bacterial SSU rRNA". It matches the Rfam family "Bacterial small subunit ribosomal RNA", at positions 355 to 769 of the family's 1533-position model. Lineage: Bacteria; Pseudomonadati; Spirochaetota; Spirochaetia; Treponematales; Treponemataceae. The record is from RNAcentral.